CCUACGGGGUGCACCAGUGGGGAAUAUUGCACAAUGGGCGCAAGCCUGAUGCAGCCAUGCCGCGUGUAUGAAGAAGGCCUUAGGGUUGUAAAGUACUUUCAGUUGGGAGGAAGGCGUUGAUACUAAUAUCAUCAACGAUUGACGUUACCAACAGAAGAAGCACCGGCUAACUCCGUGCCAGCAGCCGCGGUAAUACGGAGGGUGCAAGCGCUAAUCGGAAUUACUGGGCGUAAAGCGCACGCAGGCGGUUGAUUAAGUUAGAUGUGAAAUCCCCGGGCUUAACCUGGGAAUGGCAUCUAAGACUGGUCAGCUAGAGUCUUGUAGAGGGGGGUAGAAUUCCAUGUGUAGCGGUGAAAUGCGUAGAGAUGUGGAGGAAUACCGGUGGCGAAGGCGGCCCCCUGGACAAAGACUGACGCUCAGGUGCGAAAGCGUGGGGAGCAAACAGGAUUAGAUACCCCAGUAGUC
RNAcentral lists this ribosomal RNA (465 nucleotides) under uncultured bacterium. RNAcentral describes it as "bacterial SSU rRNA". It matches the Rfam family "Bacterial small subunit ribosomal RNA", at positions 338 to 795 of the family's 1533-position model. The record is from RNAcentral.